UACGAAGGGGGCUAGCGUUGUUCGGAAUUACUGGGCGUAAAGCGUGCGCAGGCGGCUUCUCAAGUCAGGGGUGAAAGCCCAGAGCUCAACUCUGGAAUUGCCUUUGAGACUGAGUGGCUUGAGUACGAGAGAGGUGAGUGGAAUUCCCAGUGUAGAGGUGAAAUUCGUAGAUAUUGGGAAGAACACCGGUGGCGAAGGCGGCUCACUGGCUCGUAACUGACGCUGAGGCACGAAAGCGUGGGGAUCAAACAGG
Molecule: ribosomal RNA, 253 nt
Filed under: uncultured bacterium
Lineage: Bacteria
Description: partial 16S ribosomal RNA
Rfam family: Bacterial small subunit ribosomal RNA
Source: RNAcentral